AGAGUUUGAUCAUGGCUCAGGACGAACGCUGGCGGCGUGCUUAACACAUGCAAGUCGAACGAUGAUCCGGUGCUUGCACCGGGGAUUAGUGGCGAACGGGUGAGUAACACGUGAGUAACCUGCCCUUGACUCUGGGAUAAGCCUGGGAAACCGGGUCUAAUACCGGAUACGACCUGUCACCGCAUGGUGGUGGGUGGAAAGAUUUUUUGGUUUUGGAUGGACUCGCGGCCUAUCAGCUUGUUGGUGAGGUAAUGGCUCACCAAGGCGACGACGGGUAGCCGGCCUGAGAGGGUGACCGGCCACACUGGGACUGAGACACGGCCCAGACUCCUACGGGAGGCAGCAGUGGGGAAUAUUGCACAAUGGGCGAAAGCCUGAUGCAGCGACGCCGCGUGAGGGAUGACGGCCUUCGGGUUGUAAACCUCUUUCAGCAGGGAAGAAGCGAAAGUGACGGUACCUGCAGAAGAAGCGCCGGCUAACUACGUGCCAGCAGCCGCGGUAAUACGUAGGGCGCAAGCGUUGUCCGGAAUUAUUGGGCGUAAAGAGCUCGUAGGCGGUUUGUCGCGUCUGCUGUGAAAGCCCGGGGCUCAACCCCGGGUCUGCAGUGGGUACGGGCAGACUAGAGUGCAGUAGGGGAGACUGGAAUUCCUGGUGUAGCGGUGAAAUGCGCAGAUAUCAGGAGGAACACCGAUGGCGAAGGCAGGUCUCUGGGCUGUAACUGACGCUGAGGAGCGAAAGCAUGGGGAGCGAACAGGAUUAGAUACCCUGGUAGUCCAUGCCGUAAACGUUGGGCACUAGGUGUGGGGGACAUUCCACGUUUUCCGCGCCGUAGCUAACGCAUUAAGUGCCCCGCCUGGGGAGUACGGCCGCAAGGCUAAAACUCAAAGGAAUUGACGG
RNAcentral lists this ribosomal RNA (897 nucleotides) under uncultured bacterium. Its description in RNAcentral is "bacterial SSU rRNA". It matches the Rfam family "Bacterial small subunit ribosomal RNA", at positions 8 to 916 of the family's 1533-position model. The record is from RNAcentral.